Molecule: ribosomal RNA, 494 nt
Filed under: uncultured bacterium
Lineage: Bacteria
Description: partial 16S ribosomal RNA
Rfam family: Bacterial small subunit ribosomal RNA
Source: RNAcentral
GACGAACGCUGGCGGCGUGCUUAACACAUGCAAGUCGAACGGAAAGGCCUGCUUUCCCUUGUGGAUUGCGGGUACUCGAGUGGCGAACGGGUGAGUAACACGUGAGUGAUCUGCCCCCAACUUGGGUAUAAGCCUGGGAAACUGGGUCUAAUUCCCGAUAGGACUGCAGGGUGGUGCCUGUGGUGGAAAACGAUUUUCUAGUGGUUGGGGAUGAGCUCGCGGCCUAUCAGCUUGUUGGUGGGGUAAUGGCCUACCAAGGCGGCGACGGGUAGCCGGCCUGGGAGGGUGUACGGCCACAUGGGGACUGAGAUACGGCCCAGACUCCUACGGGAGGCAGCAGUGGGGAAGAUUGCACGAUGGGCGGAAGCCUGAUGCAGCGACGCCGCGUGGGGGAUGACGGCCUUCGGGUUGUAAACUCCUUUCGACCGCGAGGAAGCCACCUGGUUGGAAGGGUGGUGACGGUAGUGGUAGAAGAAGCACCGGCUAACUACGUG